RNAcentral lists this ribosomal RNA (761 nucleotides) under Prevotella melaninogenica. RNAcentral describes it as "bacterial SSU rRNA". It matches the Rfam family "Bacterial small subunit ribosomal RNA", at positions 28 to 776 of the family's 1533-position model. The record is from RNAcentral. Lineage: Bacteria; Pseudomonadati; Bacteroidota; Bacteroidia; Bacteroidales; Prevotellaceae.
GAUGAACGCUAGCUACAGGCUUAACACAUGCAAGUCGAGGGGAAACGGCAUUAAGUGCUUGCACUUUUUGGACGUCGACCGGCGCACGGGUGAGUAACGCGUAUCCAACCUUCCCAUGACUAAGGGAUAACCUGCCGAAAGGCAGACUAAUACCUUAUGGUCUUCACUGACGGCAUCAGAUGUGAAGUAAAGAUUUAUCGGUUAUGGAUGGGGAUGCGUCUGAUUAGUUAGUUGGCGGGGUAACGGCCCACCAAGGCAACGAUCAGUAGGGGUUCUGAGAGGAAGGUCCCCCACAUUGGAACUGAGACACGGUCCAAACUCCUACGGGAGGCAGCAGUGAGGAAUAUUGGUCAAUGGGCGAGAGCCUGAACCAGCCAAGUAGCGUGCAGGAUGACGGCCCUAUGGGUUGUAAACUGCUUUUGUAUGGGGAUAAAGUCAAUCACGUGUGAUUGUUUGCAGGUACCAUACGAAUAAGGACCGGCUAAUUCCGUGCCAGCAGCCGCGGUAAUACGGAAGGUCCGGGCGUUAUCCGGAUUUAUUGGGUUUAAAGGGAGCGUAGGCUGGAGAUUAAGUGUGUUGUGAAAUGUAGACGCUCAACGUCUGACUUGCAGCGCAUACUGGUUUCCUUGAGUACGCACAACGUUGGCGGAAUUCGUCGUGUAGCGGUGAAAUGCUUAGAUAUGACGAAGAACUCCGAUUGCGAAGGCAGCUGACGGGAGUGCAACUGACGCUGAAGCUCGAAGGUGCGGGUAUCGAACAGG